GCUGGUCUCCCAUAAGCCUUUUGCCUCUGUGCCUGUCGUCAGUCAGGUGUGUGCCUACCCUUUCCACAAGUAAAGAUUCUGUCAACGUGCGUGACACUUUUGGGACAAGACAAAAAAUUUGGAUCCUGGGCAUGGCUGGUGGUCAGUGGUCAUUCCAUAAAGGAUUUCACAAAGCAACAGAAACAGAGACUCAGGAGAAGCCUCUGGUCAGGAACACAAAUGGAAAAAGAAACACGAAACAUCCCCGGGAUGAAUGCAGGAGCUGUCCAGAGCAAAGAGGGAAAUCCUGGUGUCUGUGAGGUAGCACGAAAACUGACAGGUACAAAUCCAACCUCUGAAAUGCCAGGCAGAUUUUCUCUGAUUUUUCCAGAUUACCUGAUUUGCUGACUUUUGGAAAAUAUUGUGAGAUUCUUGGACCAAAAUGCAAAUGAAUGACCUGCGAAU
This 444-nucleotide long non-coding RNA is filed under the name Anser brachyrhynchus (Pink-footed goose). RNAcentral describes it as "lncRNA (ENSABRG00000011078.1)". Lineage: Eukaryota; Metazoa; Chordata; Aves; Anseriformes; Anatidae. The record is from RNAcentral.